GUGGGGAAUUUUGGACAAUGGGCGCAAGCCUGAUCCAGCAAUGCCGCGUGCAGGAAGAAGGCCUUCGGGUUGUAAACUGCUUUUGUACGGAACGAAACGGUCCGGGUUAAUACCCUGGGCUAAUGACGGUACCGUAAGAAUAAGCACCGGCUAACUACGUGCCAGCAGCCGCGGUAAUACGUAGGGUGCAAGCGUUAAUCGGAAUUACUGGGCGUAAAGCGUGCGCAGGCGGUUUUGUAAGACAGGCGUGAAAUCCCCGGGCUCAACCUGGGAAUUGCGCUUGUGACGGCAAGGCUGGAGUGCGGCAGAGGGGGAUGGAAUUCCGCGUGUAGCAGUGAAAUGCGUAGAUAUGCGGAGGAACACCGAUGGCGAAGGCAAUCCCCUGGGCCUGCACUGACGCUCAUGCACGAAAGCGUGGGGAGCAAACAGGAUUAGAAACCCGAGUAGUCC
This 450-nucleotide ribosomal RNA is filed under the name uncultured bacterium. RNAcentral's name for it is "partial 16S ribosomal RNA". It matches the Rfam family "Bacterial small subunit ribosomal RNA", at positions 354 to 796 of the family's 1533-position model. The record is from RNAcentral.